CUGGACUACGGGAACUCUC
This 19-nucleotide microRNA is filed under the name Callorhinchus milii (elephant shark). RNAcentral describes it as "eshark_NOVEL_174". The record is from RNAcentral. Lineage: Eukaryota; Metazoa; Chordata; Chondrichthyes; Chimaeriformes; Callorhinchidae.